AUACGUAGGGGGCGAGCGUUGUCCGGAUUGACUGGGCGUAAAGGGCGCGUAGGCGGCCCGGUAAGUCUGGAGUGAAAGUCCUGUUUUUAAGAUGGGAAUUGCUUUGGAUACUGCCGGGCUUGAGUGGAGGAGAGGUAAGUGGAAUUCCCAGUGUAGCGGUGAAAUGCGUAGAGAUUGGGAGGAACACCAGUGGCGAAGGCGACUUACUGGACUGUAACUGACGCUGAGGCGCGAAAGUGUGGGGAGCAAACAGGAUUAGAUACCCUGGUAGUCCACACUGUAAACGAUGAAUGCUAGGUGUAGGGGGUAUCGACCCCUUCUGUGCCGCAGUCAACACAAUAAGCAUACCGCCUGGGGAGUACGGCCGCAAGGUUGAAACUCAAAUGAAUUGGCGGGG
Molecule: ribosomal RNA, 397 nt
Filed under: uncultured bacterium
Lineage: Bacteria
Description: partial 16S ribosomal RNA
Rfam family: Bacterial small subunit ribosomal RNA
Source: RNAcentral